This is a long non-coding RNA of Bombus pascuorum, 566 nucleotides long. RefSeq lists it as uncharacterized. NCBI's taxonomy places the organism in Eukaryota, Metazoa, Arthropoda, Insecta, Hymenoptera, Apidae. The transcript has 3 exons. The record is from RefSeq and is a predicted model, not a curated record.
CAUCUAUUUAAUCAAUCUUAAAAUACAAAUAUUAUACGUUUAUAUUCUUAUAUAUUCGCGGGAGGAUGUGCGCAGGUACCAUGUUGUCCUGCUGAAUUGUAGCCAAUCAACGAACAGUGUUGUAAGCAAUUCGAAAUAAUAACGGUUGACCGACACGAGGCUCCGCACAGUCGGUCUGUGGAUUCGCACGUGGUGAUAUGUUCGUCGUGUUAAAUAAUGUCUACAAUGUGGAUAUAUAUCAGUUAGUAAUGAAUGCUAAACAAAGAAUUACAGAGUUAAUCUGUUAAAUUUUGAUAGAAGAAAAUAUAUAAAUACAAAAGAUGCAACACUUGAUCGAUCAUUGUUUUAUUUAAGAAUAAAUAAAGGUAGCACCCAUGUAUAGAUGUAUAUAUAGAUUAUUAUGGAAUCCGAGGAUUGAACUGCGAAGAUUGUUUCAAAUGUAUUCCAGCAAGAGUUAAUUAUAUCCAUAUUGGUCAUAUGUCACUGUUACAUUUCAUAAAUUAAAUUGGUCUUCAAAGUCUCUGGAUCUCCAAAACCUUGUGCAUGGAUUUCGUGUUAUUCAAAUA